Molecule: ribosomal RNA, 441 nt
Filed under: uncultured bacterium
Lineage: Bacteria
Description: partial 16S ribosomal RNA
Rfam family: Bacterial small subunit ribosomal RNA
Source: RNAcentral
CCUACGGGGGGCAGCAGUGGGGAAUAUUGCACAAUGGGGGAAACCCUGAUGCAGCGACGCCGCGUGAGUGAAGAAGUAUUUCGGUAUUUAAAGCUCUAUCAUCAGGAACGAGACAAGACGGUACCUGACUAAGAAGCCCCAGCUAACUACGUGCCAGCAGCCGCGGUAAUACGUAGGGGGCAAGCGUUAUCCGGAAUCACUGGGUGUAAGGGGAGCGUAGACGGGUGUGCAAGCCUGCAGUGAAAGGCGGGGGCCCAAGCCCUGGAGUGAUUUCGGAACUGUACGGCUGGAGUGCAGGAGCGGUAAGUGGAAUUCCUGGUGUAGCGGUGAAAUGCGUAGAUAUUAGGAGGAACACCAGUGGCGAAGGCAGCUUACGGGACUGUAACUGACGUUGAGGCUCGAAAGCGUGGGGAGCAAACAGGAUUAGAUACCCCAGUAGUC